UAGGGAAUAUUGCACAAUGGAGGAAACUCUGAUGCAGCGACGCCGCGUGAGUGACGAAGGCCUUCGGGUUGUAAAGCUCUGUUCUCAGGGAAAAAGCAAGUGAUUGUACCUGAGAAGAAAGGACCGGCUAACUUCGUGCCAGCAGCCGCGGUAAGACGAGGGGUCCAAGCGUUGUUCGGAAUCAUUGGGCGUAAAGCGGGUGUAGGUGGCUCUAUAAGUCAGGAGUGAAAUCCCCGAGCUUAACUCGGGAAGUGCUUUUGAUACUGCAGAGCUUGAAUGUGGGAGAGGAUCGUGGAAUUCCAGGUGUAGUGGUGAAAUACGUAGAUAUCUGGAGGAACACCGGUGGCGAAGGCGGCGAUCUGGGCCCCAACAUUUGACACUGAGACCCGAAAGCGUGGGGAUCAAACAGGAUUAGAUACCCCUGUAGUCCC
RNAcentral lists this ribosomal RNA (431 nucleotides) under uncultured bacterium. Its description in RNAcentral is "bacterial SSU rRNA". It matches the Rfam family "Bacterial small subunit ribosomal RNA", at positions 355 to 797 of the family's 1533-position model. The record is from RNAcentral.